This 2874-nucleotide long non-coding RNA is filed under the name Mytilus galloprovincialis (Mediterranean mussel). The record is from RNAcentral. Lineage: Eukaryota; Metazoa; Mollusca; Bivalvia; Mytilida; Mytilidae.
AACGUAAUGUGUAACAUACAAGAUAAAUAGAACCAAACAAUAUUUACUGGAUCAAACAGUCUGUGUUUAACGUUAUGUGUAACAUACAAGAUAAAUAGAACCAAACAGUAUUUACUGGACCAAAAGGUAUUGACUUAACCAAAUAGUAAAGUGUUCAAAUUUUUACAGAUCUAUAUCUGAUUUGAAGCUUAUCACUUAACAAAAACAAAGUUACUGGAAUUAUACCAGUGUUUAUAUACUAAAGAAACAGUACGAAAAAAUAAAGCCGUUUUCCUUUUAGAGUAAAAAAUGUUUAUCAUGUCUUUUCUAAAUGACUUUUUUUUAUGCCCCAUUUAUGGGCAUUAUGUUUUCUGGUCUGUGCAUCCGUUCGUUUGUCUGUGCGUCCGUUCGUCUGUGACUCAAUUCGUCCUGCUUCAGGUUAAAGUUUUUGGUCGAGGUUAAAGAUUUUGAUCCAGGUAGUUUUUGAUGAAGUUGAAGUCCAAUCAACUUGAAACUUAGUACUCAUGUUCCUAAUGAUAUGAUUUUUUCUAAUUUAAAUGCCAAAUUUGAGAUUUUCCCCCAUUUUCACGGUCCAUUGAGCAUAGAAAAUGAUAGUGCGAAUAAGGCAUCCGUGUACUAGGGACACAUUCUUGUUUACAGCUGCUCUGCAUUGGAACCUGUCUUGAUUAGAUAAGUGUAUGGUUAAGAUUAUUUGAUGUUCGUUCCAAUUUAAGACUGUUUAGACAAAAUUACACAGAUAUCAAUGUCUGAUUGGUCAAUGUUCAGAAUAGUAAAGAUCAGAGGGUAAGGUUCAUUCGUCAUACAUUGUUUGUCAGUUAGAGGAUAAGCUGACAGUGUCAACAUUUAAUAUCAUCAUAUCAUAUGUAUAAGCACUAAAUGUCAUAUAUUUGGGGUUUUUCUCAUUGUGAGAAUGGAUUGGACAUCGUUAAAAGAUGUGUUGAUUGUUAUUAUUGAAGGUUGUUACAUUUAUUAUUAACUUUUCAAAUUUUAUGUCAGAUUUAGAAUAAGGGUAAUCACUAAUCAGUGAUGUAUAAUUAAUAUUUUGUGUACCAAAAUUGGUUAAUUUAGAUUAUUUGUUUCAAUGGAGAAGCCUUCUGUUUAACCUAGAGGCAUUAUAAAAAUCUAUUUUACACUUUGUUUUAAUGCAAUGCCAUUGAAGGUUUGACCUCUGUGGUCGUAUUAUAAAGCUGUGCUCUGUGGAGCACCUGGUUUUUGUAUAAUGUCAAAGAAGUAAAAUUAUCAGUUCCCAUUUGACUAGGAGAUGAUUUUCAUUUCCAUAAAAAGUGAGAUGAGCAAAAUAAUGAUCAGAUUUAAAAAGAGAGAGAGAGAGAGAAUGAGUUAAAAUUAAAUGUGAAUCAUGCAUACAUCUUUGUAAUUUGUUCUAUAAAAAUAUAUUGAGAGGAGAUUUACAUUUUGUAAGCUUCACACCCCAAACUAGUUCUACAAAUAAGAAAAACAAAUGGUUUGUUGUAAUGAAUUCACAUAUUUUAUGUCUAUAAAAUCAUUUCAUAUUUAUAGUCCAAAAUAUAGUGAGUGUGGAAAUUAAAAGGUUGCAAAAUUGUUAUAUCUAGUCCAAUUCUAACAAGGUAUCAUCUAUACAUGUAUUAAAUAAGAGUAUUGAAUUAGUCGACCAUGAUGUAUUCCAAAAUGCAUUGUUUGGACAAUUUUAUUUAAUUAUAUAAUAUGAGCACACACAUUAAGACCAAGAGUUGGUCAAGCAAUAUGCUAAGUUUCAUACUUAUUUGAUGCUAUUAUUAAUAUUUUUCAUGUCACUUAAAGAUAUUUAUUUUAAUGGGCAAACAUUUGUUACAUUUACUUCUCCAAUCUCCUCAUCAAUAAUCAUGUCCUGAAUAUAUGCAUGAAAUAUUUGCAACUGAACAUUAAUCAAACUACAAUGGCUCCAUUGGGGACAGAAUUCGUACCAUUUGCAUAAAAGUAAAUAAUGCAAGUCUCCUGAAUUAAGUUUCCUCAUUGAUUGGAUUAUAAUUGCAAUGUUUGACCUGUAAAAUGUAUUUUUUUUUUGGUAUGAUGAAUAAAGGCUUUAAUAUGUAUAUCGAUUGUGUAUACCGUUAAUUGUAAUUAUUUUUUGGCCAUAUUUGACAAAGUCUAAAUCAACUCCUGUAGGUUUCAACCCAAAUCACUGAAACUUCCCAGGAAGAUUCCACAAAUUUUGAAGUUGUGCACCUGCUAUAAUGGAAUUUAUGGAGGAAUUUUAUCUCAUUUCUCCAGACUGGGGAACGUUUUCAACAAAUUUCUGAAAGAAGGCAGAAUUUUGCAAUGUCUCCUACAAUUUUCAACCAAGAUCCCUAACACAUCACAGAAUGAUUUUGCACAUGUUGAAUUAGUGCAAGUGCUAUUAUUGAAUAAUUGUUUGAAGAAUUUUUGGACAUAAUUCCAGACUUGGGGACUUAAUUUGUUCCAUCAAACUCACUAAAAGGUAUCUUAUAUUGUAAUCAUCAACUUUUACAGUUCUACAACGGCAGAUCCCUUAAAACAAUACAUUGAUACUCACAAAUAUUUCAACCUAUGUAUUUGAGACUUUAACCCAUUUUUACAUUAUAUUCUAUUUUUCAUGAUAAAGUUUUAAAAAAAUAUAGCAUAAUACAACUUUUAGUGAAACUCAUAUUUUGUUUAUAUUUCUUGUUACAUGAUAAUUUAUUUGUGCUAAUUUAGCUUUUUUGCCAAGUUUUAUUAAUUAACAACUGUUAAAACUCUAAAUAAUAUCCCGUAGAAACUCGUUCAAAAUGUUUAAAAUACAAUAAAAAGAGCGUACUUAAAACUUAUCGUAGAGCAUUUUACCUUUGCCUUGUACAUUGAUGGACACCUCCAGGGAGACUCAGGGGCGGAUCCAGCCAUUUGAAAAAAAGGGGGGUU